This is an RNA transcript of Pan troglodytes (chimpanzee), 7390 nucleotides long. It is a transcript of the gene named calpain-3, with no coding region annotated. The record is from RefSeq and is a predicted model, not a curated record. NCBI's taxonomy places the organism in Eukaryota, Metazoa, Chordata, Mammalia, Primates, Hominidae. The transcript has 47 exons.
GGUUGGAACCUGGUCAGCUGGGUUAGAGAGAUCGCUACAUGCCAGCCUGGCCUGAGUCUUUUCUGUCUCCCAGCCGUUAAAGGUUUUAGGACCAGGCAGGCACCCCGUGCAGGAUUUGGCUCUCUACUUCCGCUCGCCCCAGCCCUUCAUCCCUUCUAAGUCAGUGUCAGACUUUGGGGCCAGAAAGUCUGGAAAAGCCCUAAGCCUGGCUGCCCAAGUGGCGUCUAGUAGUGAGUUCUCCGGUUUGGGUGGUAUUUAAGCAAAGGCUGGAAUUCGGCGGUGGUGGAGUACACGCGAUUCCUAGACUGGGUAGUGUAACAACCUUCAAAGGCCCCUUCUAGCCCUGAAGAGUACGAUGCUGCAGUACAAUCUGGCUGGAGACCUAGCCUCCAGCAAAGACCCGCCCGGCACUUCCCACUGUUAACCGAAAACGGAGACAGGGUCAGUUUUCAAAAUCUGUGGCGUGACCCCGCCACUGAGAUGGAUCUGCAGAUGCUUCGUCCCAGUCAGGGAGGCCGUCUCGGCAUUUCCAGGUUCUUAACGCUCUUGGUUUUUACCCUCUAGGACUCAUUGCGUACACGCCCUCACCGCCGCCCAGUUUCGGUUCCUAACAAGCACGUUCCUCAUCAGCCACCCAUAAUCAAGACAAAUUUGCCAAAUAAAUCAUUGUAGAAACGCUAGUUUGGGCCUGAAAAAUUCCAGGAGCAAGAUACAAGAUUUGUCACUCCAUGAGAAUCUGGAGGGGACUCCCUUCCCAGAAACUUGACGAUGAAGUACUGGUUGUAAUUUUAGAAAGACACCCAAUCGGCUUUUUUAAAAGAUCGCCCAGGGCCCUUGUCCUGAGAGCUGGGAGCUGGUCGGAGUGACAGAGAAGCCAUGGAAGCAGCUGUGAAAGAGGAAAUAAGUGUUGAAGAUGAAGCUGUAGAUAAAAACAUUUUCAGAGACUGUAACAAGAUCGCAUUUUACAGGCGUCAGAAACAGUGGCUUUCCAAGAAGUCCACCUAUCAGGCAUUACUGGACUCAGUCACAACAGAUGAAGACAGCACCAGGUUCCAAAUCAUCAAUGAAGCAAGUAAGGUUCCUCUCCUGGCUGAAAUUUAUGGUAUAGAAGGAAACAUUUUCAGGCUUAAAAUUAAUGAAGAGACUCCUCUAAAACCCAGAUUUGAAGUUCCUGAUGUCCUCACAAGCAAGCCAAGCACUGUAAGGCUGAUUUCAUGCUCUGGGGACACAGGCAGUCUGAUAUUGGCAGAUGGAAAAGGAGACCUGAAGUGCCAUAUCACAGCAAACCCAUUCAAGGUAGACUUGGUGUCUGAAGAAGAGGUUGUGAUUAGCAUAAAUUCCCUGGGCCAAUUAUACUUUGAGCAUCUACAGAUUCUUCACAAACAAAGAGCUGCUAAAGAAAAUGAGGAGGAGACAUCAGUGGACACCUCUCAGGAAAAUCAAGAAGAUCUGGGCCUGUGGGAAGAGAAAUUUGGAAAAUUUGUGGAUAUCAAAGCUAAUGGCCCUUCUUCUAUUGGUUUGGAUUUCUCCUUGCAUGGAUUUGAGCAUCUUUAUGGGAUCCCACAACAUGCAGAAUCACACCAACUUAAAAAUACUGGUGAUGGAGAUGCUUACCGUCUUUAUAACCUGGAUGUCUAUGGAUACCAAAUAUAUGAUAAAAUGGGCAUUUAUGGUUCAGUACCUUAUCUCCUGGCCCACAAACUGGGCAGAACUAUAGGUAUUUUCUGGCUGAAUGCCUCGGAAACACUGGUGGAGAUCAAUACAGAGCCUGCAGUAGAGUACACACUGACCCAGAUGGGCCCAGUUGCUGCUAAACAAAAGGUCAGAUCUCGCACUCAUGUGCACUGGAUGUCAGAGAGUGGCAUCAUUGAUGUUUUUCUGCUGACAGGACCUACACCUUCUGAUGUCUUCAAACAGUACUCACACCUUACAGGCACACAAGCCAUGCCCCCUCUUUUCUCUUUGGGAUACCACCAGUGCCGCUGGAACUAUGAAGAUGAGCAGGAUGUAAAAGCAGUGGAUGCAGGGUUUGAUGAGCAUGACAUUCCUUAUGAUGCCAUGUGGCUGGACAUAGAGCACACUGAGGGCAAGAGGUACUUCACCUGGGACAAAAACAGAUUCCCAAAGCCCAAGAGGAUGCAAGAGCUGCUCAGGAGCAAAAAGCGUAAGCUUGUGGUCAUCAGUGAUCCCCACAUCAAGAUUGAUCCUGACUACUCAGUCUAUGUGAAGGCCAAAGAUCAGGGCUUCUUUGUGAAGAAUCAGGAAGGGGAAGACUUUGAAGGGGUGUGUUGGCCAGGUCUCUCCUCUUACCUGGAUUUCACCAAUCCCAAGGUCAGAGAGUGGUAUUCAAGUCUUUUUGCUUUCCCUGUUUAUCAGGGAUCUACGGACAUCCUCUUCCUUUGGAAUGACAUGAAUGAGCCUUCUGUCUUUAGAGGGCCAGAGCAAACCAUGCAGAAGAAUGCCAUUCAUCAUGGCAAUUGGGAGCACAGAGAGCUCCACAACAUCUACGGUUUUUAUCAUCAAAUGGCUACUGCAGAAGGACUGAUAAAACGAUCUAAAGGGAAGGAGAGACCCUUUGUUCUUACACGUUCUUUCUUUGCUGGAUCACAAAAGUAUGGUGCCGUGUGGACGGGCGACAAUACAGCAGAAUGGAGCAACUUGAAAAUUUCUAUCCCAAUGUUACUCACUCUCAGCAUUACUGGGAUCUGUUUUUGCGGAGCUGACAUAGGCGGGUUCAUUGGGAAUCCAGAGACAGAGCUGCUAGUGCGUUGGUACCAGGCCGGAGCCUACCAGCCCUUCUUCCGUGGCCAUGCCACCAUGAACACCAAGCGACGAGAGCCUUGGCUCUUUGGGGAGGAACACACCCGACUCAUCCGAGAAGCCAUCAGAGAGCGCUAUGGCCUCCUGCCAUAUUGGUAUUCUCUGUUCUACCAUGCACACGUGGCUUCCCAACCUGUCAUGAGGCCUCUGUGGGUAGAGUUCCCUGAUGAACUAAAGACUUUUGAUAUGGAAGAUGAAUACAUGCUGGGGAGUGCAUUAUUGGUUCAUCCAGUCACAGAACCAAAAGCCACCACAGUUGAUGUGUUUCUUCCAGGAUCAAAUGAGGUCUGGUAUGACUAUAAGACAUUUGCUCAUUGGGAAGGAGGGUGUACUGUAAAGAUCCCAGUGGCCUUGGACACUAUUCCAGUGUUUCAGCGAGGUGGAAGUGUGAUACCAAUAAAGACAACUGUAGGAAAAUCCACAGGCUGGAUGACUGAAUCCUCCUAUGGACUCCGGGUUGCUCUAAGCACUAAGGGUUCUUCAGUGGGUGAGUUAUAUCUUGAUGAUGGCCAUUCAUUCCAAUACCUCCACCAGAAGCAAUUUUUGCACAGGAAGUUUUCAUUCUGUUCCAGUGUUCUGAUCAAUAGUUCUGCUGACCAGAGGGGUCGUUAUCCCAGCAAGUGUGUGGUGGAAAAGAUCUUGGUCUUAGGCUUCAGGAAGGAGCCAUCUUCUGUGACUACCCACUCAUCUGAUGGUAAAGAUCAGCCUGUGGCUUUUACGUAUUGUGCCAAAACAUCCACCCUGAGCCUGGAGAAGCUCUCACUCAACAUUGCCACUGACUGGGAGGAAAUUUGCGAGAAUCCCCGAUUUAUCAUUGAUGGAGCCAACAGAACUGACAUCUGUCAAGGAGAGCUAGGGGACUGCUGGUUUCUCGCAGCCAUUGCCUGCCUGACCCUGAACCAGCACCUUCUUUUCCGAGUCAUACCCCAUGAUCAAAGUUUCAUCGAAAACUACGCAGGGAUCUUCCACUUCCAGUUCUGGCGCUAUGGAGAGUGGGUGGACGUGGUUAUUGAUGACUGCCUGCCAACGUACAACAAUCAACUGGUUUUCACCAAGUCCAACCACCGCAAUGAGUUCUGGAGCGCUCUGCUGGAGAAGGCUUAUGCUAAGCUCCAUGGUUCCUACGAAGCUCUGAAAGGUGGGAACACCACAGAGGCCAUGGAGGACUUCACAGGAGGGGUGACAGAGUUUUUUGAGAUCAGGGAUGCUCCUAGUGACAUGUACAAGAUCAUGAAGAAAGCCAUCGAGAGAGGCUCCCUCAUGGGCUGCUCCAUUGAUGAUGGCACAAACAUGACCUAUGGAACCUCUCCUUCUGGUCUGAACAUGGGGGAGUUGAUUGCACGGAUGAUGAGGAAUAUGGAUAACUCGCUGCUCCAGGACUCAGACCUCGACCCCAGAGGCUCAGAUGAAAGACCGACCCGGACAAUCAUUCCGGUACAGUAUGAGACAAGAAUGGCCUGCGGGCUGGUCAGAGGUCACGCCUACUCUGUCACGGGGCUGGAUGAGGUCCUGUUCAAAGGUGAGAAAGUGAAGCUGGUGCGGCUGCGGAAUCCCUGGGGCCAGGUGGAGUGGAACGGUUCUUGGAGUGAUAGAUGGAAGGACUGGAGCUUUGUGGACAAAGAUGAGAAGGCCCGUCUGCAGCACCAGGUCACUGAGGAUGGAGAGUUCUGGAUGUCCUAUGAGGAUUUCAUCUACCAUUUCACAAAGUUGGAGAUCUGCAACCUCACGGCCGAUGCUCUGCAGUCUGACAAGCUUCAGACCUGGACAGUGUCUGUGAACGAGGGCCGCUGGGUACGGGGUUGCUCUGCCGGAGGCUGCCGCAACUUCCCAGAUACUUUCUGGACCAACCCUCAGUACCGUCUGAAGCUCCUGGAGGAGGACGAUGACCCUGAUGACUCGGAGGUGAUUUGCAGCUUCCUGGUGGCCCUGAUGCAGAAGAACCGGCGGAAGGACCGGAAGCUAGGGGCCAGUCUCUUCACCAUUGGCUUCGCCAUCUACGAGGUUCCCAAAGAGAUGCAUGGGAACAAGCAGCACCUGCAGAAGGACUUCUUCCUGUACAACGCCUCCAAGGCCAGGAGCAAAACCUACAUCAACAUGCGGGAGGUGUCCCAGCGCUUCCGCCUGCCUCCCAGCGAGUACGUCAUCGUGCCCUCCACCUACGAGCCCCACCAGGAGGGGGAAUUCAUCCUCCGGGUCUUCUCUGAAAAGAGGAACCUCUCCGAGGAAGUUGAAAAUACCAUCUCCGUGGAUCGGCCAGUGAAAAAGAAAAAAACCAAGGUAGGUGUGUGGGUAGAGAGCAUGAAGUGUGUGUACUCAUGCAUAUGUGUGUAUGUGCAUGCGUGUGAAGUGUGCAUGUGUGAGCUCAUAUGCAUCCAUGCACCAGACUUGCCUCUUCCUCCCCCUCCUUCCCUGAGCUUCUGCUGGGGCCGAGCGUGCAGUAAUGACAACUACAAUAUGCUGGGGGAAGGCUACGUGCCAAGCACUCUUUUAGGUGCUUUCCAUGAUUAAUUCCUUCCUCACAACAGUCCUAUGAGAUUAGUACUAUAACUAUCCCCAUUUUCAGAGGGAGAAAAGGUACAGACUUGACUAACUUGCCCAAGGCCACACAGCUAGGGAGGGGCAGAGCCAGUACUUAGAGCCAGGCAGUGUGGGUCCAGAGUCCGUGUCCUGAACCACAAGAGGCCAUCAUACACCAUCAGAUUUGGUGCUAGCAUUUCUGGUGGUGCCUGGUGGUGAUGGAUCCAUCACAGGGGUCCUCCAGGUACUGGUGCUGGCCCAGACCAGAGCUGACACUCAUCAGGCACUACCACAUUCCAGGCACUGUGCUUGGGGUCAAUCCCUCUCUUUCCCCCCCGCCAAUUAUAACAGUAUCUACAAAGUAGGUGCUGUUAUUUUUCCCCUUUCACAGGUGAGAUAGACUCAAAGAAGUGAACUUGCCCAAGGAACAGAACUAAUGAGUGGGGAAAAUGGAACUGGAAACCAUGUCUGUUUACUCCAAAACCUGUGUUUCUUGCCCUCUUUCUCUGGUGCCAGCCCCUACACUUCAAGGCCUGUGUUGUCCAGACCCACACUCGGGCCUGCCAGUGUGUGCCUGGCAGGGAUGCUCCAUGGCCACACCAUAUCCAUCCUACACAUCCCCCCUCAGACUGUGACCUCCAUUUGCUCUGGGAUCCCCACAAGCUUCAGCUGCUUGAGCAAGACACUGCUUAGAAGGCAGAGCAAGCCAAGGCCUCUGGGGCCUGCUGGGAGCCAAAGCUGGGGAGCCGUUUCCACGGGUCUAUCUGCUUGAGCUGUCCUAGAUGAGCAGCAUGGAAGGGCAGUGGUGCCUGAGUCCAGCCCAUCAUCUUCGUUUCAGACAGAGCAAACAGCAACAAGGAGCUGGGUGUGGACCAGGAGUCAGAGGAGGGCAAAGGCAAAACAAGCCCUGAUAAGCAAAAGCAGUCCCCACAGCCACAACCUGGCAGCUCUGACCAGGAAAGUGAGGAACAGCAACAAUUCCGGAACAUUUUCAAGCAGAUAGCAGGAGAUGACAUGGAGAUCUGUGCAGAUGAGCUCAAGAAGGUCCUUAACACAGUCGUGAACAAACACAAGGACCUGAAGACACACGGGUUCACACUGGAGUCCUGCCGUAGCAUGAUUGCGCUCAUGGAUACAGAUGGCUCUGGAAAGCUCAACCUGCAGGAGUUCCACCACCUCUGGAACAAGAUUAAGGCCUGGCAGAAAAUUUUCAAACAUUAUGACACAGACCAGUCCGGCACCAUCAACAGCUACGAGAUGCGAAAUGCAGUCAACGACGCAGGAUUCCACCUCAACAACCAGCUCUAUGACAUCAUUACCAUGCGGUACGCAGACAAACACAUGAACAUCGACUUCGACAGUUUCAUCUGCUGCUUCGUUAGGCUGGAGGGCAUGUUCAGAGCUUUUCAUGCAUUUGACAAGGAUGGAGAUGGUAUCAUCAAGCUCAACGUUCUGGAGUGGCUGCAGCUCACCAUGUAUGCCUGAACCAGGCUGGCCUCAUCCAAAGCCAUGCAGGAUCACUCAGGAUUUCAGUUUCACCUUCUAUUUCCAAAGCCACUUACCUCAAAGGACCCAGCAGCUACACCCCUACAGGCUUCCAGGCACCUCAUCAGUCAUGUUCCUCCUCCAUUUUACCCCCUACCCAUCCUUGAUCGGUCAUGCCUAGCCUGACCCUUUAGUAAAGCAAUGAGGUAGGAAGAACAAACCCUUGUCCCUUUGCCAUGUGGAGGAAAGUGCCUGCCUCUGGUCCGAGCCGCCUCGGUUCUGAAGCGAGUGCUCCUGCUUACCUUGCUCUAGGCUGUCUGCAGAAGCACCUGCCGGUGGCACUCAGCACCUCCUUGUGCUAGAGCCCUCCAUCACCUUCACGCUGUCCCACCAUGGGCCAGGAACCAAACCAGCACUGGGUUCUACCUCGUUAUUAUUUUAGGAGAGGCCUGCUGUGGGGUAAACUAACUCAGUGGAAUAGGGCUGGUUACCUUGGGCUGUCCAACUCAUAAGUUUGGCUGCAUUUUGAAAAAAGCUGAUCUAAAUAAAGGCAUGUGUAUGGCUGGUC